GUGCCCGUUGGUGCUGCUGGACUGGAUUCCUUCCAGGGCACAGUCCCCCAGGGAUCCGUACAGAGACUUGGCCACACUGGUCACUUGAGGAGGGUGACAGACGCGUAAUUAGCAAAGGGUUGCACUGCAGAGACUCACAUCCCGGGAGAGAUUGCCCUUUGGAUAGGGGAGAAGAGCAGUUUAAAAUCUGGGCUCAGGGGUGUGUUGCAGAGGGAUGGUGUUACCGACUUCCCCCUGGCGUCAGAGCGCAACGUUCUCUAGGUUAUCUACUUUAGUCUUCUAGUGCACCACACUGGUGUGGAUGUCAAUGACUAAAGUCUGUGUUGAACUUGUAUAAGGAAAAACGGAAAAAAAGAAUAAGCCAAUAAACGCCAUCAUUAUUUUAAAGAAAGAUGA
Long non-coding RNA from Columba livia (rock pigeon), 396 nucleotides. RefSeq lists it as uncharacterized. The record is from RefSeq and is a predicted model, not a curated record. Lineage: Eukaryota; Metazoa; Chordata; Aves; Columbiformes; Columbidae. The transcript has 3 exons.